UUGCAAAUUUAAAUUUAGAGC
This 21-nucleotide non-coding RNA is filed under the name Caenorhabditis elegans. Lineage: Eukaryota; Metazoa; Nematoda; Chromadorea; Rhabditida; Rhabditidae. The record is from RNAcentral.